UCAGGAUCUUCAAUCUCGUAGAACUCGAAGAGCUAUAUCACUUGGUCGCCAACGCUUGAUCUUCGAUUCCUUGAAGCUUGGAGAUGGAUCGCAAUCUAUUCGCGACGCACAGCGAAUACAAACAGGCACAAACAAACAAACACAUAUAUAUGCAUAAGAACAUUACACCAUACAAGAUAAAAUGUUAUACAAACAUGCAGCAUAAAAUAGAGCUCGAUUCUAUGGUUACGCGAGGGAAAGAAACGUCGAACUCGAAACUACGGUAGAGAAGUUAGCGCGUUAACGUUAAACAAGUAUUAACAAUAACUUUUAGUUCAAACAUGAUCAAAUAUAAAUAUUGUACAUCAGUUAGUUCGAUUAAUCUGCUACACUAACAAUGUCUGUUAAUUAAAUAAUUUAAUUAAAACAAGAGAUUCUAAGCGAGAUGAAUUUAUGACGCGUGAAACAGCACGACAGCGUGCAAAUGACGCGCGGACACACGCGACAUAGCACGCUGACGACACAUGAAACAGCGCGCGCGACGAGCGCGAACGCGCACGAAUCAGCACGCCGGCGCGCGCGGAACGGCACCCGCGACAUACGAGAAUAAUUAAACAGGUGACACGUUUAUACUAAACGAAUGUUAAAUAAAUAGAAAGCAGUUAAAUUAAUAUUAUCCAUGUUAAUAUUUAUUAUAAAAGCCCAAGAUAGAAACUACAUCCUUUAAUCUGAUUGGAAUAUUAAUCUAAUAAUUAUUAGUCGAGCAAUCCUUAAAUUAGUUAUCUAAAAUAUAUGAUAUGACAUAUUAAUAUCGUUAACAUGAGUGUUUAUAAGCGGCAAACUAUUUAUUAUCACGCGCAUACAACGCGCGACACACGCAAAACAACGCACACGACAAUAAAAAGUAUUUUAGUUGGUAUUAAUCAUGUUAAUUAACAUUUAUAUUUAUAAAAGCAGAGUUAAAACUAUAGACUCGUUCUAAUUAAAUUAUUAUUUUAUUAACCCUCGAACAAAAUAAUAAUUAAUUAUUUAACUAAGAUAUGCGACACGACAACCACGAGCGUCGUGGGAACAACGUGCACGACAACACGCGCAACAGACGUGUGGCGCGAACGCUCGAACGAACAACGGCGACACGCAAACAGCGCGCGACUCGCGAAAACGGUGCGACAUGCGAAACUACUAAACUGCGUCGUUUUUAUUAUAAUAAUCAAGUGUUAAAUAUAACCUUUACGUAGCAUCAACACGUUAUCAGCUAUCUACAAACGCCUAAUUAAAAUUAUAAACUAGAUUUGAUUGAGCUGUUGUUUUAAUAACUGAAAACUAAACAAUUAAUCAAGUGAUUAACAUGAACGACAUGACGAAGUGAUGUUAUUAAAGCGCGCAAAUAACGAUUUACCGAGCGAUGACGAAGAGAGCGAGCAGCACGCGCUACACACGUGAACAACGCGAUAACAACUAAAUAGACGACACGUUUACAUUAAAUAAAUAUUAGUUGAAAACAUCUGAGUCGGCACUAACCACAUUAAUUUGCAUCUAUAAAAUCACCAUUUAAAACUAUACCUUAAUUUUAAUUAGAAUGUCGUUCAAAUAAACCUUGGAUUAACUACCUAAUUAACGAAAACAUGUGUCAUGACGAAAUACUAAUUGUAACACGUAGGCGAUGUUAUUAUGAAGCUAACACCAUUUAAACGAUACAAAACGGACUUAAAACGCAAUAGAUAAUGUACAAUUAAUACACCACGGAACUAAAUGACGUGGCACAAAUUGAGUGGUUUUAGAAUAUCCACACGUUGGACCAUAAAGAGCACAACUAUUGAAAAUCCUGGGAUGCUUUAUUGGGGCGUUGCAUGUCGACAUGCGGGAAGGUGCAGAUGUCUCAUGUGGACCGUGAAGGACGGUUUCUUUUCAAAAUGCACAGCACUAAAGAGUCGCGGGGAGGUGGAAAUAGGCAUGCAGGUGGGGCCCACUAGCAGUUUCUUCUUCCUCUUCUCAUGGCUAACUGGUAACCGCACGAGUGAUUCUCUCGCUGCUCACGACGCAUGCACGCAGGGAGAGGGAAAUGGCCGCUGCGCUAAGCGAGCUCGCAUGCAGAGGGACAGGGCACGGGGCAGGCCCCGGGCGCUAUGCCAGGAUCGUGCCGAGGCCGGAUCGGGGUGGUCGCGGGCAAGCCGCACAGGCUGCCGUGCCGGGGGCACGCCGCACAAGGUCACGAUCGGACGCGCUGGUGCGCAGGGCUGCAUCGGGGGCACGCCGCGUAGGGCGCGAGCGGCCACGCCGGGAGCACGAGGCUACACCACGGGCGGCCAUGCUGCAGCGGGAGGGAGUACAGGAAGAGCAGCAGGCCGGCCAUGGCCGUCGAGAACGAAGGGGAGGGAGGGAAAAAGAGGAGGGAGUUAGACGGCAAGGAGGUCUCACCUCCGUGGACUCGAGCGCGGGUGCCUGGGAUGGGCUCCGGCGAGGUGGACGGCGAAGACGGGCGAAGCGACGCCUGCGGACUGUGAUGGCGGUUCCGGCUUGCCUCCUGCUGCGCGCGACGG
Molecule: long non-coding RNA, 2519 nt
Filed under: Zea mays
Lineage: Eukaryota; Viridiplantae; Streptophyta; Magnoliopsida; Poales; Poaceae
Description: long non-coding RNA (ZMAY_LNC000451)
Source: RNAcentral